RNAcentral lists this long non-coding RNA (950 nucleotides) under Olea europaea subsp. europaea. Lineage: Eukaryota; Viridiplantae; Streptophyta; Magnoliopsida; Lamiales; Oleaceae. The record is from RNAcentral.
AGAGUUUUCACACCCUGUUCAGCAAACUGGUUCUUCUACAGUGCUCUCGACCGCCAAAGAAAUCUACACUACACCCACUACUUCUCAAAACUCUCAGAUCCCUGCGAAACCAUCAGAAGAAGAAACUCCUCUGCUAACGGAAGCGGUGUUGGAGGCAUGGUCUUUCGUACUCAGACGCCGAAUCUUCUCCAUCUCAUAUUAAUCGGCCCAGUGAUCGAAAACUCUAUCAAAACUUCAUAACUUCCUAUAGGGCAAACUCGCUCUUUCUCACUCGGCCAUGUGGAGAAAGUCGCUGAGUUUUUCAUUCAAACUGGCCCAUUCCAAUUCGAAUUAUUAACUCCACUUGUUGUUCCGCACUUCCUCAAAACCUUCUUAUCGUGGCCUUCCUAGCCGAUCUAAUUCCACAAGCCUACAUUCCACAUUGACAGCCGAUCCGGUAGGUGGUCUGAUUUGGGUCUUGGAAGCAUAAAAUUUGGGCUCAUGUCGAGUCAACCAGGGCCGCUGACUUAUCGUUGUUAGUGGCUUCAUCGAUGUGGAAGGCUAAAGAUGUGGCGUAAUUGGCCAAGCAUUGCGACUUUUGUUAUUGGGAGCUCUCAAAAGCUCAUCUGAGGUGUGUUUAAACUGGUUUUACACCCACUUCACCUUUUUUUUUUUAACAAAUUUCAAUUUUGAGAUGGAAUUUCGUGAACUCAAGAAACGUAUUUGUCUGUUUGCAAUAGCUUUUGUCACUUAAAAUAGAUCAAAGCUACUUUUAUUUGACAUAACUGGAUGAAGAAUUUACAACUUCUGCAUUUGCAGUAGAGGCCCUAGAGGGUAAGGGAGAGAGGCAGUAGUUGAUAAUCUGCACAUGUUACCUACAAUGCAUAGUUUUGUCCAUUUUCCUCCACUCUGCUAUAAUUAAUUAUGAACUUUUUGUACUUCCAGCCCUCAACUCUGCUGCUGCCGCCGGC